GUCAGUGUGGUGUAGUGGUCUGAGCAUUGGACUACGAUUCUGGAGAUGAGGGUUCGAGUCCCCACUUGGCCA
Molecule: non-coding RNA, 72 nt
Organism: Phrynosoma platyrhinos (Desert horned lizard)
Lineage: Eukaryota; Metazoa; Chordata; Lepidosauria; Squamata; Phrynosomatidae
Source: the annotation of a GenBank genome assembly